Long non-coding RNA from Amphiprion ocellaris (clown anemonefish), 402 nucleotides. NCBI's taxonomy places the organism in Eukaryota, Metazoa, Chordata, Actinopteri, Pomacentridae. The record is from Ensembl.
CAGAUGUUUAGGUGUGAUGUGUUCAAGUUCACGUGGAGGUGCCAUGUUCAUACAGAUGUUUAGCUGUGGUGUGUUCAGGUUCACGCGGAGGUGCCAUGUUCAUACAGAUGAUCAGCUGUGGUGUGUUCAGGUUCACGUGGAGGUGCCGUGUUCAUACAGAUGUUUAGCUGUGGUGUGUUCAGGUUCACGCGGAGGUGCCGUGUUCAUACAGAUGUUUAGCUGUGGUGUGUUCAGGUUCACAUGGAGGUGCCGUGUUCAUACAGAUUUUUAGCUGUGGUGUGUUCAUACAGAUGUUUAGCUGUGGUGUGUUCAGGUUCAUACAGAUGUUUAGCUGUGUUGUGUUCAUACAGAUGUUUAGCUGUGGUGUGAUCAUCCAGAUGUUUAGCUGUGGUGUGUUCAGGU